This 461-nucleotide ribosomal RNA is filed under the name uncultured bacterium. Its description in RNAcentral is "partial 16S ribosomal RNA". It matches the Rfam family "Bacterial small subunit ribosomal RNA", at positions 339 to 795 of the family's 1533-position model. The record is from RNAcentral.
CUACGGGUUGCUGCAGUAGGGAAUAUUGCGCAAUGGGCGAAAGCCUGACGCAGCGACGCCGCGUGAGUGAUGAAGGUCCUCUGGAUUGUAAAGCUCUGUAAGGAGGGAAGAACCGCCUGGUGUAACGGCCAGGUCUGACGGUACCUCCAAAGUAAGCACCGGCUAAAUAAGUGCCAGCAGCCGCGGUAAUACUUAUGGUGCGAGCGUUGUCCGGAAUGACUGGGCGUAAAGGGUGCGUAGGCGGACUUUCAAGUCAGGUGUGAAAUCCCCGGGCUUAACCUGGGAACUGCGCUUGAAACUGGAAGUCUAGAGUAUGUGAGGGGUUAGCGGAAUUCCCGGAGUAGCGGUGAAAUGCGUAGAGAUCGGGAAGAACACCGGUGGCGAAGGCGGCUAACUGGCACAUGACUGACGCCGAGGCACGAAAGCGUGGGGAGCGAACGGGAUUAGAUACCCCCGUAGUC